CCCUUCACCCAGCCAGCCAUUGGGGUACCCUCACCCAGUCGGUUCCCAAGCUGUGUGCCACAAAAUAUUUACUCAGUGGGAAACAUUACUGCUAAACAGGGACCCGGUCAAUUGCCGCGGUCCUUUAAGACUGCGUCUUGGCCCCUGUAAUGUCAGCCGCCUGGGAGGAAGUGACAGCCUGUCACUUCCUCCCAGCAUCCUGCAGGGAGACAGCGUGAGAGGAGAGGUGCAUGAAGAGCUCCAGACCAGUCACUCCCACAGCAGCAGGACGCCAAGCCACCCUCCUGGCGCAUAAGGUAAGUUAACAGGAGGGUGGCUGGAUUUUGCUUCUGUUUCUGUGCACACACAUCUGUGUAUGUACAUCUGUGUGUCAGGGUGUUUGUUUUUAUGUCAGUGUGUUUGUGUGACAUGGUGUGAGCAUGUAUCAAUGUUUGUGUGUAAGUCGGUGAUUAUAUGAAUGUGUGUGUCGGUAUAUUUAUAUGCAUCUGUGUGUUAAUGUCUGUGUGUAUGUAUGUGCAUAUAUCCAAGGAAUUAUACUCCUGCAAUCUAACACAUAUUACAUACAAACACCCCCCUGCAUUCAAACCAAAAAAAAAAAACACACCUCUUCACUCAAAGACAAAUACGCCACACAAAUGUACAUCCACAUUAAAAAGUGAACAUUACAUUCAGACACACCCAUGCAAUCAAACACAAAUAUCACAUACAAACACAACCCUGUAUUAAAACACAAUAAAAUGUAUACAAGGACCCCUUCAAACACCAACACUGUACAUUACACUGUAGCGCCAGUAAAAGUGGCUGUGCUAUACAGUUAUACAACCUAGAAAUUUUGACUUGGGGUGCCUUGGACAAAUACUGAAAUAUUAAGGGCACCUUGAACCUAAAAAGUUGAGGAACCACUGGGGUAACGAACCUGUACCCUCACCCAGUCUGUUCUGGGGGUUACCUGUACCCCGUUGCUGGCCACACCAGUUAUAGGGUCCUUUCACAACCCAG
Non-coding RNA from Pelobates cultripes (western spadefoot toad), 999 nucleotides. The record is from the annotation of a GenBank genome assembly. NCBI's taxonomy places the organism in Eukaryota, Metazoa, Chordata, Amphibia, Anura, Pelobatidae.